AUUGGCUAGGAGCUAUUCUUCCCUUUUUAAUAAGGUGCCUUGUGUUUCACCAGCCUGGCCCUGAUGAGAGAGGCCAGUUCCUUUCUGAGGCAGGGGAUAGAGCUGAGACUGUGCUGGUUUGCUGUGGUGCUCAGAGAGACCAAAGGAUUUAAGUCUUCAAAAUGCACAUACUUAGGCUUUACUCUGAGCCUUUUGGAGAAGCAAAGGAGAUGCUGAGAUCCUCCCUGUAAUCAUCUGCCUCGGGAAUCUGCAGCUCCAUAAAUGAGGUAUCCAGGUGUGUAUGCUAGAGGGGACUGGAGCACUUGUGGAAGAUGCCUGGGCUCUGCUGAGCUGUC
This is a non-coding RNA of Lonchura striata (white-rumped munia), 335 nucleotides long. NCBI's taxonomy places the organism in Eukaryota, Metazoa, Chordata, Aves, Passeriformes, Estrildidae. The record is from RefSeq and is a predicted model, not a curated record.